This 636-nucleotide ribosomal RNA is filed under the name uncultured Marinobacter sp. RNAcentral describes it as "bacterial SSU rRNA". It matches the Rfam family "Bacterial small subunit ribosomal RNA", at positions 870 to 1504 of the family's 1533-position model. Lineage: Bacteria; Pseudomonadati; Pseudomonadota; Gammaproteobacteria; Pseudomonadales; Marinobacteraceae. The record is from RNAcentral.
CGCCUGGGGGAGUGCGGCCGCAAGGGUUAGAACUCAAAUGAAUUGACGGGGGCCCGCACAAGCGGUGGAGCAUGUGGUUUGAUUCGACGCAACGCGAAGAACCUUACCUGGCCUUGACAUGCAGAGAACUUUCCAGAGAUGGAUUGGUGCCUUCGGGAACUCUGACACAGGUGCUGCAUGGCCGUCGUCAGCUCGUGUCGUGAGAUGUUGGGUUAAGUCCCGUAACGAGCGCAACCCCUAUCCCUAGUUGCUAGCAGUUCGGCUGAGAACUCUAGGGAGACUGCCGGUGACAAACCGGAGGAAGGUGGGGAUGACGUCAGGUCAUCAUGGCCCUUACGGCCAGGGCUACACACGUGCUACAAUGGCGCGCACAGAGGGCUGCAAACCCGCGAGGGGGAGCCAAUCUCACAAAACGCGUCGUAGUCCGGAUCGCAGUCUGCAACUCGACUGCGUGAAGUCGGAAUCGCUAGUAAUCGUGAAUCAGAAUGUCACGGUGAAUACGUUCCCGGGCCUUGUACACACCGCCCGUCACACCAUGGGAGUGGAUUGCACCAGAAGUGGUUAGUCUAACCUUCGGGAGGACGAUCACCACGAUGUGGUUCAUGACUGGGGUGAAGUCGUAACAAGGUAACCGUA